AAGCACUGUAUGCUAACAUACCCUGAAAGUGUUUCUACAUUGUACUUAGAACAAACUGCCUCAGUGUUUUACUGCAGUAUUCUCUUUGACAGUUCCUCUGUAUGUGGAAGACACGUCUUCACGUCUUUGAGCAUAGAAGAGGCUAACAGCAUCAGUAUUGAUAAUGUUAUCAUGUUGGCUGCGGAUAUCACUGUCUCUCUUCCAUGCCUGAGCUAAUCAACUGGAAACAAAUCUUGGUGGACAAGUUCUCUAAGAUCCAUGUGAUGGAGCCCCACAUCUCAUACCUGCAGCACAUGUUUCAGGACAUGCACGCAACACUCCGCUCAUAUGGAUUACAUUGUGCAACUGGGGCUCUUCCCCUGGUCAGGCAGCCAGUGGCAACGGGGGAACCUGAAAGCCAUGCUCCAAACUUGCAAAGCACCAUAUGAGACAUAAAGUUGGCAGCAAUUUCCUGAAUGUUCCUCAUGCCACAUUAUAACCACUGCAGACCAG
This 492-nucleotide long non-coding RNA is filed under the name Gallus gallus (chicken). RNAcentral describes it as "lncRNA (ENSGALG00010004528.1)". The record is from RNAcentral. Lineage: Eukaryota; Metazoa; Chordata; Aves; Galliformes; Phasianidae.